Molecule: ribosomal RNA, 292 nt
Filed under: uncultured Acidobacteriota bacterium
Lineage: Bacteria; Pseudomonadati; Acidobacteriota
Description: uncultured Acidobacteria bacterium partial 16S ribosomal RNA
Source: RNAcentral
GGACUACCCGGGUAUCUAAUCCUGUUUGCUCCCCUAGCUUUCGUUCCUCAGCGUCAGUAGUGGUCCAGCGCGCCGCUUUCGCCACGGGUGUUCCUGCAGAUAUCUACGCAUUUCACCGCUACACCUGCAAUUCCACGCGCCUCUCCCACACUCUAGCACGGCAGUUUCGGAAGCAGCCCCUGAGUUGAGCCCAGAGAUUUCACUCCCGACUUGCCACACCGCCUACGAACCCUUUACACCCAGUAAUUCCGAGCAACGCUGGCCCCCUACGUCUUACCGCGGCUGCUGGCAC